This 5508-nucleotide long non-coding RNA is filed under the name Sus scrofa (pig). RNAcentral's name for it is "lncRNA (ENSSSCG00000052896.1)". Lineage: Eukaryota; Metazoa; Chordata; Mammalia; Artiodactyla; Suidae. The record is from RNAcentral.
CCAGGCACGUUCUAGGGCGUCUCCCUUGCAUUAAUGUAUUGAAUCUUCACGCUGAUGAAAUCGGCGCUAUUGUUGUCCCCACCUGGGAGAGGAGGACACGAGGUUCAGAGAUGAAGUAAUAAAAUUGCCUGGGCUCUUCAUCCAGCCAGCAAGGGCCAAAUGGUACUUUGGUGCCCCAAGCCCCCAUGUCACUGUUCACUCUGAAUGUUCCCACUAGGGAAUUUCACUCCCUAAUGCCCAGGCUGAUGGACUAAAACAUCUUUUGAUUUAAAAAAAGAGAGAGAGAGAGAGAGACCAAAUAUACAAUGGUGUUCCCAUGGGUGCGCUCUUGGCUCCUGAAAGGUAAAUGGCUCCAAGUAUUUGCAAGACUUUCUAAACAAUGUCCUUUAAUUACUGUGGCUCUAGACUCUUCAGAUGCUCAAGACCCCUGCUUGUUGUGUUCCCUUGUGACAGUAAGCUCUCAUGCAGCUCACCUGCUGCUCACAGGUGAAAAGAAGACCCUCCCAGACUAUCUCCGAGAGCCAGGCAGGCAGAGCCUGGCAACCUGCGUGCCUGCCUCAAGACAAAAAGAGUCAGGAGACUAAACACAGUCAAACGCAAACCCAGCCCUCCUGAUUAGAGUCCUACACCCACUGUCACCUCCCCAACUACCCCUACCCCAAUGCUCAGGACCCCCAGUUCGCUGAUGCCAGAGUGUGCACUCAGUAUGGCCACAGCAUACCUUCCUUCACUCAUCUGCUCAACACAGGCUUAUUUUAUGUGUCCUUGAUGUAUAGUUGAUUUACAAUGUGUUAGUUUCAGGCAUACAGCAAAGCGAUUCCAGCCUUUAUAUCUUAUUAUGUGUGUGUGUAUGUGUGUGUGUGUAUCUUUUCCACAUUUUUUUCUCUUAUAGGUUAUUACAAUAUAUCGAGUACAGUUCCCUGGUCUAUACAGUAGGUCCUUGUUGCUUAUCUAUUUUUAUUUAUUUAUUUAUUUAUUUUUGUCUUUUUGCCAUUUCUUGGGCCGCUCCUGCGGCAUAUGGAGGUUCCCAGGCUAGGGGUCCAAUCAGAGCUGUAGCCGCCGGCCUACACCAGAGCCACAGCAACGUGGGAUCCAAGCUGAAUCUUCGACUCACACCACAGCUCACGGCAAUGCCAGAUCAUUAACCCACUGAGCAAAGGGCCAGGGAUCGAAUCCAUAACCUCAUGGUUCCUAGUCGGAUUUGUUAACCACUGAGCCACAACGGGAAUGCCUCUAUUUUAUGAAUAGUAGUUGUGUAUAUGUUAAUCUUGAAUUCCUAAUUUAUCUCCCCCUUUCCCCCUUUUGUAACCACAAGUUUGUUUUCUGUCUGUGAGUCUAUUUCUGUUUUGUAAAUAAGUCCAUUUGUAUAAUUUUUUUAGAUUCCACAUAUAAGUGAUAUCAUAUAUUUGUCUUUCUCUGUCUGACUUACUACACUUCAGAAUGAUAAUCUCUAGGUCCAUCCAUAUUGCUGCAAAUGGCAUUGUUUUUCUUUUUUAUGGCUGAGUAAUAUUCCAUUGUAUAUAUUACCACAUCUUCUGUAUCCAUUCCUCUGUCAAUGGACAUUUAUGUUGCUUCCAUGUCUUGGCUAUUGUAAAUAGUGCUGCAGGGGUUCCUGUUGUGGCUCAGUGGGUUAAGAACCUGACAUGGCAUCUGUGUGGAUGCAGGUUCGAUCCCUGGCCUCACUCAGCAGGUUAAGGAUCCAGCAUUGCCACAAGCUGUGGCGUAGGUCACAGAUGAAGUUUGGAUCCAGUGUUGCUGUGGCUGUGGCAUAGGCCUGCAGCUGCAGCUCUGUUUUGAUCCCUAGCCUGGGAACUUCCACAUGCUACAGGACAGGCCAUUUAAUAAUAAUAAUAAUAAUAAUAAUAAUCAGUGAACUGACGGUUUCUUUAAAAACUAAAAGUAGAGCUACCAUAUAAUCCUUCAAUUCUACUUCUGGGCUUAUGUCUGGACCCCACAUGCUUUUUUAUGCGGUAGAUGCUGAUGUUUUACAGAUAAAGCACCCAGACCCUGCCCUUUCUGACGUUACAGUUUGGUGAUGAGAAAGACGCAUUGAUUGACAGGUAAUACAAAGUGAAGGGGAGAGUUCUUUAAUUCUCACAUUAUACUAGCACCAGGCCAGGCUUUAUAGGAUAAUCUCAUUUAUUUUCUUUUCUUUUAUUUAUUUUCUUUUUGUCUUUUUAGAGCCCCGCCGGCAGCAUAUGGAGGUUCCCAGGCUAGGGGUUCAAUCAGUGCUGUAGCUGAAGGCCUGUGCCAUAGCCACAGAAACACCAGAUCUGAGCUGCGUCUGAGACCUACACCACAGCUCAUGGCAACGCUGGAUCCUUAACGCACUGAGCCAGGCCAGGGAUGGAACCUUCGUCCUCAUGGACGCUAGAUAGAUUCGCUGGUGCUGAGCCAAGACGGGAACUCCAGAUGAACUCAUUUAAUUCUUGCACAAUGAUGAGGUGGAUACCAAUACUAUCUUCAUUUUAUACACGCAAAAAAAGAAAUAAAAGAGGCUCCAGAAAGAUGAGCAUCUUGCCCCAGACAAUGAAGCUAGAAGUGGUGGAGAUAAGAGAAGAUGUCAUCUGGCACCCGAGUCUGCGUUAAGGGAUCUCUUACAGGCAUCUUAAAAAAAAAAAAUUUAAAAACCAUUCUCAGAGUUCCCGCUGUGGUGCAGUGGGUUAAGGAUCCAGCAUUGCCACAGCUGUGGCAUAAGUCAGAGUUGCGGCUCAGAUUCCACCCCUGAGUUCAGUUCCUGGCCAGAGAACUUCCAUGAAAAGAUUUUUUUAUUCUUUAACCCCAAAUAGAUUUAUUUAUUUAGUCUUCCGCAUUUACUUAUAUUAGCAUGGACUCAGAUAAUUAUCUCAUACUUGGGUUUAUAAUCCAAUACUUCCUUGUUUAUUUUGUUGUUCAAAUUGUUCCUUCCAGGAGUUCCCUUCAUGGCUCAGUGGUUAACACACCUGACUAGGUUAAGGAUCCAGCGUUGCUAUGAGCUGUAGUGUAGGUUGCAGACAAGGCUCAGAUCUGGCGUUGCUGUGGCUGUGACAUAGGCUGGCAGCUGCAGCUCCAAUUCAACCCCUAGCCUGGGAACUUCCAUAUGCCACGGGUGACACCCUAAAAGGCAAAAAACAAUAAUAAUAAAUUUUAAAAACUGUUCCUUCCAGCUUUGGCCAUUGGGAAAUCCUGCAGGUGGCUCAUGUACCCUUGGAUGUAUCCCUGUCAUUGUAUUGUUUUGUUUAUUCCAGCACUGUCUUACUCUCCAGCAUUAUAAGAUGCUUCAAUCACAUCUAUAUUUAGAAACGAAAUUAACACUAUUGGAACAUGUGAACUGUAAGCCGCCAUGUGUAAACUAACACAGAUUCGCGGCUACACACUGAGUUUCCACAGUACUUUAUUUCUGUAUUUCCGCCUUCCUUUUGGAAGGAGUCAGCAGUCCUCUGAAUGGAUCACAAUCCUAUGAUCUCAGAUUUGAACCCUUAACCUAAUAGGGCCCUGAUUCUCACCCCUCCCCCCCACCGCCACAGCACUCACAGCAUAUGGAAGUUCCCAGGCUAGGGGUUGAAUCAGAGCUACACCUGCCAUGCCAGUCUACAUCACAGCCACACCAACUUGGGAUUUGAGCCAUGUCUGCGGCCUAUAGCACAGCUCACAGCAACGCCAGAUACCUGACCCACUGAGCAAGGUCAGGGAUCGAACCUGCAUCCUCAUGGAUACUAGUCGGGUUCAUUUCCACUGCGCCACAGUGGGAACUCCCAGAGGGGCCUGAUUUACAAUAACAGAGUUAGCUCAGUUCUUUCCAUUGCUCCCAAUAAACUGAUGAAAUUAUCCAUCUCAUAUCGCAUUCCCUCUAUUCUAUAUUCUGCUUUUUAAAAAAUUCACAUCUGUUUUUCUAAUUCAAUAAGUUUUAUGAUAUCUAUAGUUGUACAACCUUCAUCACAACCUGACUUUACAUUUCUGGAAAUGUGUGGCCCCCAUCCCACACUGCAGCAAGAUGAAAAUUGAAAUUAACUGUUUCUCUUCCAUGUUGGAGGAAGACCCAACCGGAAAAACAAGACAGCCCUUCGACAGCUGGCAGGGUUUCUCACCUCUGCUCUAGGAAGUUUUGGGGCUGGGUACUCCCCCUCCCUGGGGGCCGUCUUGUCAUCAUGGAAUGUUUAGCAGCCUCCCAGGCCCCACACACUAGAGGCCAGUAGCACUCAUCGAGGGUGACAACCCAUAUGCCUCCAGACCUUGUCAAAGGCACCCUCGAGGACAAAAUCACCCCCAGCUGAAAACCACUGUUAAUUACCUGAGGGAUGCCUAUUUGCAGCACUACCCCCAGAAAGGAGGCUUGAAAGUCUUGGAGUAAAGAGCUGGGCCCUUAACCAUGUAAUCGGAUCCUCUUCGAUUCAUGGGCAGGACUGAGCCAGGCAAGUCUUGGCAAAGGCAACCUCGAAGGACCAACCAGGGGAGGCGCUUGGGUAAUUUGGAAAGUGAUUGAAAGACUGGAAGGUCACUCUGGUGCAUGUGUUAAGACCCCUGCCCCCAAGUGGUGGGAGUUGACUGUGUGGUCCUGGCUGAUUUCCAGCCCAGGUGACUGCGGGCUAAACGUCUUAGUUUUCCUUCCAAUUCCCGUUGCACCUGGUACCUUUCUUCUGUUCUAUGCCACAGAACUAAGCCAUAAUUAUUCUCUUAGCUUCCAGCGAUUAGUUAGGAGAUAUUAAUCUGCGAUUUGGUUUUCACAUUGAAGUCGGCGAAGUGCUGGAGGAUGAACUUGGGUUUCCCGUUUUGGUUCUGGGGGAUGUAAUGGUGGAAAGAGAAAGUGCCUUUGCUUAGUCUUGCCAGAAGAGAAAAACUAUUUCUUAAAUCUGCACAGGGAUUCCUUAGAUGAAGACCAGUCCUAGAGGAACUGAGAUGAAGUCAGAUCACAGUGUCCAGGACUUUGCUAUCUGAACACAGUUGAAGGACCUAGUGUCCUUAUGUUAAUAACUUCCCUCAACUUGCCUCUGAUGGGAUUUCCUGCUUACACCUGCCCUUUCAGGACAUUUCAUCAUUGUCCAGACUUUUCUCACUCCUUGUUCCCAUUUAAACUGCCAGCCCUGGGAGUCAACUGGUGGCUCAGUAGGCUUAAGGAUCUGGCGUUGUCACUGAUGUGGCUUGGGUCAUUGCUAUACCACGAGUUUGAUACCUGGCCCAGGGAACUUCUGCAUCCUGUGGGCACAGCCAAAAAAAAGAUUUAAGUAACAAAGAAAUAGCCUAUAUUUUAGCCCCAGUAAAGGCUUGGGCUCCGUGCAGCAACAGUGGGUGGAUAAACCCAGGGGGGUUGGGAUGGAGGUGGGGGGUUUGGCCAGUGUAUUCUGGUUUGUCCAAGACUUGCUGGAUUUUAGCACUCAAAGUCUGGGUCCCAAGAAAUCCCUUAGUCCUGGGCAAACCGGGAAGAUUGGUUACCUUAAUUCAUUGAAGGCAACCUCAAUAUUCCACCUCCUGUGAUCUCAGCCUUCUCCUAACACGUCUCCCCGCAGUUAAGUCAGGAAGCGAUUUUGCAGC